CUCGCAGAGUUUCUAGUAAAUCAGAAUUUAAAAUUUAUGUUUAGAGAUUUUUCUUGUCCAAAACUCUAAUUGAAUUCUCCAUUUUUGCUCCAAAUUCACUCCAGGCGCGCCAAACACGACCACAUUUGACAAGCAAACUUGACGAGUAUAUAUAUCUCACCUGUUCUAGCUGAAAAAUACAGGUAUUACACGGGAUUGAGUUGGGAUGCUGCGCUACUGGGCGUAGUCGUAGAUGAAGUCGGAGUUGCCGACCAUGGCGUUGAGCACCUGGGAGACGAGGAAGCCGCUGCCGGCGAUGACGGCGAUGAUGAGCAGCGCCGUGACGGGGUUCUUGAGCAGCUCCACGAUGGGCUGCAGCAGCGUGUAUGCCACCCCGGUGCUCACCGUCNNN
This 391-nucleotide long non-coding RNA is filed under the name Oryza brachyantha (malo sina). Its description in RNAcentral is "long non-coding RNA (OBRA_LNC002112)". The record is from RNAcentral. Lineage: Eukaryota; Viridiplantae; Streptophyta; Magnoliopsida; Poales; Poaceae.